This 647-nucleotide long non-coding RNA is filed under the name Glycine max (soybean). RNAcentral describes it as "long non-coding RNA (GMAX_LNC000777)". Lineage: Eukaryota; Viridiplantae; Streptophyta; Magnoliopsida; Fabales; Fabaceae. The record is from RNAcentral.
UUUAUCUUUAUGUUAUUUCUGUUAUACCCUUCUCAUUUAACCCCACUAUUUCUUUCAAGCUUCCCAGGAAAAUCCACGAUGCCAAGUAAAAGAGAGAUCAAUUGAGUGAUGGAUCAAAAAGUGCACUGAGAGAGAACGUGAACAAUCUUGUGGUCUUCCCUCGCGCAUUGUGCAUCUCAGUUGCACCAAAAAUUGCAAAUCUGGGUAAAAGAGGCGAUGGCCGAUGGGUCAAUAGGUAGAGAAAGAACGUGAACCAAAUACCGAUGCUUGCAGCGAUACGACCAGAUGUGUCGAGAUGGAGGCAGAGGAGAAGGAGUACGGCGAGGGUUUUGUGCAGAUUCGUGGGACGAUUUGGAGAAGUUGUUGAACUCCAAAUCUAUAUUUAUUUUUGCUCUAUGAUUUCUAAUUUUUGGUGUGUGAUUUCUGUAUUAGCAAGGAAGUUUGAAAAUUUUGGUUUCAGAUUGAUUUUCAGUGUUCGUUUUUUAAUUUUGAUGUUAACGAUUUUUAUUUAGCUUUUGUUUUCAUUUUGAUUUCUGGGUUAGCCUGGUACUUUGCCAUUUCAAGUUCUGGUUUACACUGAGAUAAAAUCUUUGGUUGCUGAAACCUUAGAACAUCAAAUGUCCAGUACGUGUGUAAGGUUGAAGGGA